CUACGGGGGGCUGCAGUGAGGAAUAUUGCACAAUGGGGGGAACCCUGAUGCAGCAACGCCGCGUGGAGGAUGACGCAUUUCGGUGUGUAAACUCCUUUUAUAUGUCAAGAAAAUGACGGUAGCAUAUGAAUAAGCACCGGCUAACUCCGUGCCAGCAGCCGCGGUAAUACGGAGGGUGCAAGCGUUACUCGGAAUCACUGGGCGUAAAGGACGCGUAGGCGGGUUGGAAAGUCAGGUGUGAAAUCCUACAGCUUAACUGUAGAACUGAACUUGAAACUUCUAAUCUAGAGUAUGGGAGGGGGAGAUGGAAUUAGUGGUGUAGGGGUAAAAUCCGUAGAUAUCACUAGGAAUACCUAAAGCGAAGGCGAUCUCCUGGAACAUUACUGACGCUAAGGCGUGAAAGCGUAGGGAGCAAACAGGAUUAGAAUACCCGUGUAGUC
This 440-nucleotide ribosomal RNA is filed under the name uncultured bacterium. RNAcentral describes it as "partial 16S ribosomal RNA". It matches the Rfam family "Bacterial small subunit ribosomal RNA", at positions 339 to 795 of the family's 1533-position model. The record is from RNAcentral.